UCUCAUCUUCCUUGAUAGGGCUCGGCGC
Molecule: small RNA, 28 nt
Filed under: Bombyx mori (domestic silkworm)
Lineage: Eukaryota; Metazoa; Arthropoda; Insecta; Lepidoptera; Bombycidae
Description: ovarian small RNA-29603
Source: RNAcentral